AACGUAGGUGGCGAGCGUUAUCCGGAUUUACUGGGCGUAAAGCGUGUGCAGGCGGACUGUCAAGUGGUGUAUGAAAUCGCCCGGCUUAACCGGGCGGGGUUAUGCCAGACUGGCAGUCUGGAGUGUGAGAGAGGGGCGUGGAAUUCCGGGUGUAGUGGUGAAAUGCGUAGAGAUCCGGAGGAACCCCAGAGGCGAAGGCGGCGCCCUGGCUCACAACUGACGCUCAGACACGACAGCAUGGGGAGCGAACGGG
Molecule: ribosomal RNA, 253 nt
Filed under: uncultured bacterium
Lineage: Bacteria
Description: partial 16S ribosomal RNA
Rfam family: Bacterial small subunit ribosomal RNA
Source: RNAcentral